Myotis davidii is the source of this 590-nucleotide long non-coding RNA. RefSeq lists it as uncharacterized. The record is from RefSeq and is a predicted model, not a curated record. The transcript is spliced from 4 exons. Lineage: Eukaryota; Metazoa; Chordata; Mammalia; Chiroptera; Vespertilionidae.
AACAAGUGCUGGUAAAAACCUGCAAGAAAAUUUUCUGAAAGCUCUGGCAGUGAGAGAAGAAGACAAUCGCAGUGGGAAAGUGAGCUCUGUGAUAUUCAUUCGUGACAAGAAUUCUCAUGGGCAAGAGAUAUCAGGAUAUAUUGACUAUGCCCACAGGCUGAAGACUGAAGAUUUUGAAGUCUACUUUAAUGGGAAAAAAAGACUUCUUCCAAGAUCCACAGAUUUGAGCUUUUACAACUGGGACAGUCAAAUUGCUGUUUGGAAUUCAACUCCCAAUUAUCAAGUGAUUGCUGAUAAUCCAGAAGGCUUGCUUUUCAAAUACAAAAGAGACAGAAAAAUUCUCAACGUGGACCCAAAAGCUUCACCAGGUGACAACUCUACUAGAAUCCCUAUCCCGACAGAGCUCUACAUACAAGCUGUCAUUUUUGACCACAUUUCCAGAAGAAAGACUUAACUGCCACAUGUUAGAUGGUUCCCUAACUGUUCACUGAAUUUAAAUGAAACCUGUAACCAGAAACAAAUUAAACUAAUGAAUGAGUCUUAUAGCUGGAAGGCAAUUUAGAAUAUUAAAAGUUAAUAAAGAAAUUAGA